CACAAACACUUCUGUAUUUUGGCAAAUCGUGUGGCAAGAAAAUGUUUCCAAGGUGGUUGCACUGUCCGAACCUGACGAAGAAGACCAGGCAACGUACUGCCCAGAAACACACGGAAAAUACGGAGGUGUCACGGUGAACGUAAAGAAAACGGAGCUCAAGGCUGACUUUGCUGUGCGGGAACUUGAAGUGACCGCGGAAUCUGAAACUCGUACAGUGAUGCUGUUUCACUACAAAGCAUGGCCUUGCGGCAGAAUGCCGCCAUGCACUGACUCUCUUGAGUCGUUCAUCGAUGCUGCUCGCUGCUACCACCUUGAGGACUCUCAUCCGAUCUUGGUCCACAGCAGGUUGGGUGUCGGCAGAAGCGGCACAUUCAUCCUCAUACACAGCAUGAUCUCUCAAGCGGAGGCAGAAGGCAAAGUUGAUUGCUUGAGGCAGCUUCAUUCUAUGCGGUGCAGCAGGAUGAACAUGGUGGAAACUCAG
This is a long non-coding RNA of Rhipicephalus sanguineus (brown dog tick), 481 nucleotides long. RefSeq lists it as uncharacterized. The record is from RefSeq and is a predicted model, not a curated record. Lineage: Eukaryota; Metazoa; Arthropoda; Arachnida; Ixodida; Ixodidae. The transcript has 4 exons.